GACCGCGUAGCUCAGUUGGCAGAGCAUUGGGCUAGUAUUUCAAAGGUCGUUGGUUUGAUUCCCACCGUGGCCA
Non-coding RNA from Paramuricea clavata, 73 nucleotides. The record is from the annotation of a GenBank genome assembly. NCBI's taxonomy places the organism in Eukaryota, Metazoa, Cnidaria, Anthozoa, Malacalcyonacea, Plexauridae.